GGCCGGUUAGCUCAGUCAGUUGAGCGUGGCGCUACCAAUGCUAAGGUCAUGGGUUAGAUUCCCGUUCGGUCC
Apaloderma vittatum (bar-tailed trogon) is the source of this 72-nucleotide non-coding RNA. The record is from Rfam. Lineage: Eukaryota; Metazoa; Chordata; Aves; Trogoniformes; Trogonidae.